Molecule: transfer RNA, 93 nt
Filed under: Gammaproteobacteria bacterium
Lineage: Bacteria; Pseudomonadati; Pseudomonadota; Gammaproteobacteria
Description: tRNA-Phe
Source: RNAcentral
AUAGCUUUAAAGGUUAUAGGUACAACAUUCUUACUUGCGAACAAAGAACUGAAAAUCCUUGUGUCGGUGGUUCGAUUCCACCUCUGGGCACCA